Megalops cyprinoides (Indo-Pacific tarpon) is the source of this 345-nucleotide long non-coding RNA. RefSeq lists it as uncharacterized. NCBI's taxonomy places the organism in Eukaryota, Metazoa, Chordata, Actinopteri, Elopiformes, Megalopidae. The record is from RefSeq and is a predicted model, not a curated record. The transcript has 3 exons.
UGGAAGCUGGAGGUUUGUGCUUGCAGCAGGGGGCGCUGUGUUGUUAUGUCUGGCAGUUGGCCUAUUUUCCUAUUGGAAAUAUAACACGAGUGGAAGGAGGUUCAUCCCAUCAUCCCACCAUUCCACCAUUGCCCUGAAAUAUGUUAACCAGCAGAGAUCGGCAGAGACGGAUUCCUGUCACAUCUACGAAAAUCAUGUGGCACAAAGCCAGGAUGAGAGCAUCUAUGCGAAUGAGAACACCUGUGCGCCCAGGACACAGAAACUCAUGACCCUGAAGGAGCAGGCUUGCUGUGAGGAGGACGUUUACGCUAACUGAUGAAUGCACAUCCAAACUGAGCUGUUAAU